Molecule: ribosomal RNA, 516 nt
Filed under: uncultured bacterium
Lineage: Bacteria
Description: bacterial SSU rRNA
Rfam family: Bacterial small subunit ribosomal RNA
Source: RNAcentral
AGAGUUUGAUCCUGGCUCAGAUUGAACGCUGGCGGUAUGCUUUACACAUGCAAGUCGAACGGAUUUGGGGGCUUGCUCCCAAGUUAGUGGCGAACGGGUGAGUAAUAUAUCGGAACAUAUCCGGAAGUGGGGGAUAACGUAGCGAAAGUUACGCUAAUACCGCAUAUGCCCUGAGGGGGAAAGGGGGGGAUCGCAAGACCUCUCGCUUUCGGAGUGGCCGAUAUCGGAUUAGCUAGAUGGUGAGGUAAAGGCUCACCAUGGCGACGAUCCGUAGCGGGUCUGAGAGGACGACCCGCCACACUGGAACUGAGACACGGUCCAGACUCCUACGGGAGGCAGCAGUGGGGAAUUUUGGACAAUGGGCGCAAGCCUGAUCCAGCCAUACCGCGUGAGUGAAGAAGGCCUUCGGGUUGUAAAGCUCUUUCAGCCGGAAAGAAAUCGCACUUUUUAAUACGGAGUGUGGAUGACGGUACCGGAAGAAGAAGCACCGGCUAACUACGUGCCAGCCGCCGCGGU